CAUUUCUGGUGAUGCUUUGCACUGGGCUCAGAAAUCAGUGGUGACAGAAGUGCAGCUCUGCCCUUGACAAGGCGGAGUCUGAGGAGAUG
Astatotilapia calliptera (eastern happy) is the source of this 89-nucleotide small nucleolar RNA. The record is from Ensembl. NCBI's taxonomy places the organism in Eukaryota, Metazoa, Chordata, Actinopteri, Cichliformes, Cichlidae.